AUUAAUUUAAGGAAUCUAGCAUUGUAAAAAUUCGUGGGUUCGUUAUAGCUAAGAUUGUUUGUUGUGUUGGGUGUUUUGAAGGGUUUAAGAGAAAAAGAAUCGUGUCGUGAAAAUUCAUUUGAAUUUUGGGUUUUCAAUUGUUUGUUUGUUUGUUUAAUUUGUUUGAAUAGGGAAAUACUGAAAAGCCAAAGGUACAAGUACCACUGAAGAUCAUGGGCAUAACUUGUCUUAUCUGGUCGUGUAUGUUGAAACUUCUCUAUAAACAAGAGGUUCCCUUUGUACCCAAUCACCUAAAUUGCUUUACCUGGCCGAAAUUACUAUUGGGCUGACCUGGAUUGCAUGAAAGCAAUUCCCAAAGCUAGUGAGUCAUAUCCAGGACUACCUUGAGCAGAGAUGUGGAUUGGUUGCUUGGUGGAGUAACGUAUAGUAUUCAUUGUGUCGAC
Molecule: long non-coding RNA, 443 nt
Filed under: Eucalyptus grandis
Lineage: Eukaryota; Viridiplantae; Streptophyta; Magnoliopsida; Myrtales; Myrtaceae
Description: long non-coding RNA (EGRA_LNC004217)
Source: RNAcentral